AUCCACCUGAGUGAACAUAAAUUCAGUUCUUUUUGCGGCACUAAAAGUGCAUUCAAUUUGUGUAUCGUGCAAACGUGCACAUAGUGUGUGAUUAUUGUUUAAUAAAGGCCUUGGAGUCUGUGCUACGUUCGGCGGGGAAAAUAUUAAACAUCGUUCUGUAGCAAUCCUUAGUUGCAACGACGCUACUGAGACGCCAGCGCAGAGACACUGCGAUCAGUUACUCGUAGCCAAUACGCCACCAAUUGUACAGACACACACACACACAUUCCUUUUGUGGUAUUGCGAAGCUGUUGCUUGCGCGCAGACGCGCUUUCAUUUGGAUAAGUUGGCGAGAACUCACUGCUGUUGAGACGUCACGCUGUUCCUGUUGUCGACACGGUGUGCACACUCUCGUGGCAGAGACACUGUGCACCCACCCCUAUUUGAGUCGCUGCCGCUGUUGCGUGCUCAAGCGCUGCAGCCGACACACACAGUCAACAACGACGUGGCAUACAACCUGCUAUACCCGCAGUUGCUAUACCUGUGGCCUCAUGGCUCUUGUUGUUCUGACAACAAGGAUGUGGAACUAACCUCUUCGAAGACCUAACCUGAAAAGAUGACCCUGAUGAUAUAAUAUCGCUUUGGAAGCGAGUAUGCUGAUUUUGAUUUUGCUUUUGAUUUUGCGUGUCUAUUGAAUUUCACCCAAUGGCACUUAACGUAACGUAAAUGAUAUAUAUUAUUCAAUUUAAAUUACUUUAAACCUUUUUAUUUGAAAUAUUUAAAUACUGAUGACAUAAAUUGUCACAAGAAAAACGAACGUAUUGAAACAAUUUGUAGCCAAGUAAGAUAAAUAUAUUCUGGUAUGGUAUGUAUAUAGUGCAGAAACCUUAGCUGUUAUAUAUUCUAAUCCGUUUUGAAGUUCACACAGCAAACCCUUCGUCUUCAGGCCUGUCGACAUCGUGGGAAUAUUGAAAUGCUGAAUUAAAGUAUGUGAGUACGGCAUGGCCGAAUAAUAACAAUAUGUAAGUCUAUAUAACAGCGAAUUUUGAAGUAUUAUCGUAACAUAUACCUACCACUCAGAAUUAAAUUUAUGAGCAUUCACGUAUCUCAGUAUUGUUUGUGAAGAUACUUAUAUAAUUCUUGAAUUGUAAUAAAAUCCUCAAAUGGGGGUAAAAAUAUGAAAUGUAUUAAUAUCGAA
This is a long non-coding RNA of Drosophila innubila, 1177 nucleotides long. RefSeq lists it as uncharacterized. The record is from RefSeq and is a predicted model, not a curated record. Lineage: Eukaryota; Metazoa; Arthropoda; Insecta; Diptera; Drosophilidae. The transcript has 2 exons.